AACCCUGGGCUAUGCCUAGGGUUCCAAAAAGCUUACAGCGUGGUAUUAAAAAAACUUCCUCUUGGUGCUAAAAUAUUUUUUGGUUCGCCAACCGAAAAUAAAUAGCCAGGAGGAAG
Molecule: small RNA, 116 nt
Filed under: Niallia circulans
Lineage: Bacteria; Bacillati; Bacillota; Bacilli; Caryophanales; Bacillaceae
Description: Bacillus circulans Hfq binding sRNA
Source: RNAcentral